GUCCCUACGGGGCGCAGCAGUGGGGAAUAUUGGGCAAUGGACGCAAGCCUGACCCAGCAACGCCGCGUGAAGGAAGAAGGCUUUCGGGUUGUAAACUUCUCUUAAGGGGGAAGAGCAGAAGAGGGUACCCCUUGAAUAAGCCACGGCUAACUACGUGCCAGCAGCCGCGGUAAUACGUAGGUGGCAAGCGUUGUCCGGAUUUACUGGGUGUAAUGGGCGUGCAGCAGGAGAGAC
Molecule: ribosomal RNA, 234 nt
Filed under: uncultured bacterium
Lineage: Bacteria
Description: partial 16S ribosomal RNA
Rfam family: Bacterial small subunit ribosomal RNA
Source: RNAcentral